GCCCAAUGGUUAAAUAUUUUUAUGAAAUUAAAUASAAAAAACUAAAUGGCUGCAGUAACUAUGACUGUAUGAAUGUAGCAUAAUCAUUCGCCACUUAAUUAGUGGAUAGUAUGAAUGGUUAAACGAAAAUUUCUCUGUCUUAUAUAAUAAACAAAAAAUUUAAAUUAUAGUUAAGAUGCUAUAUAAAAUUGUAAGACGAAAAGACCCUAUAAAGCUUAACUAUAKUCUUUUACAAUUUAUUUAAAAAAAUAAGAAAAAAAGAUUGGUAGUUUCAUUGGGGCGAUGAUCUCUAAAAAAAAACAGAGAUAAACUAUAUUUAUAAUAAAAAAAUUUACUGUUUAAUUUAUAAAUUUAACAGUUACAAAGUAGGUUAUAAUGACCCAUUAUUCACCUAAAAAAGAAAUAAUGAUCAAAAAAUAAAAGCUACUUUAGGGAUAACAGGAUAAUUUUUUCCAAGAGAUCUUAUCGAAGAAAAAGUUUAUCACCUCGAUGUUGAAUUAAGAUACCCCA
Molecule: ribosomal RNA, 510 nt
Filed under: Macrorhynchia furcata
Lineage: Eukaryota; Metazoa; Cnidaria; Hydrozoa; Leptothecata; Aglaopheniidae
Description: partial 16S ribosomal RNA
Rfam family: Bacterial large subunit ribosomal RNA
Source: RNAcentral